Dicentrarchus labrax (European seabass) is the source of this 814-nucleotide long non-coding RNA. RefSeq lists it as uncharacterized. The record is from RefSeq and is a predicted model, not a curated record. The transcript is spliced from 2 exons. NCBI's taxonomy places the organism in Eukaryota, Metazoa, Chordata, Actinopteri, Moronidae.
ACCAAAAAUGUCUGUGUCCUCCUAAAGGUACGCCUUCACCAAAAACAACAAGCCAACCAUCGUUGCCAAGGGCAACCCUAACCUCUCCUUCGGACGCGCCACACAGAUGAGCGCCAAUGACAUCGCCCGUGUCAACAGGCUUUACCAAUGCUGAUGACGGAGGGAAAGAGUUGAUUCAAGUCUCAGCUUGUCAUGAUUACUCCAAAGGCCCAGAUCUGUUGUACUGCAGGAGUAUUAUUUCAAAGAAACAGAAACUUGCAACAAGUCAGUAAAGUAGUAGUAUUAGUAUCUUCAGCUCCAGUUGUGGCUUCAUGGCUGAGAUAUUGAUGUAUACUAUGAACAGAAAACUUCAGGAAAUUGUUUCAGCAUGUCUAAAAAGCUCAAAGAUGCUAGUUGAGGAGGAGGCAGAUCUUUGACUGCCAGACUGCAGAGUCACCUGCUGGAGGUUGAUGGUAUUACAUCUCUUUCUGCUGAGGUCAGACAUUGGACUUCUUUGUUGGUUUUAAAAUACAAACUUUAUGAUUUUAUUUUAUGAUGUUUUUUUACUGGGUGGGCUCACAGAGAGCCAAGAGACUGUGAUUUGAUUCGAUGAUUGUUAAGGAUGUUGACAGACACAGAGUAUAUAAAUAAUGACGAAACAGCAAAGUCAAAAGGAUAAAUGUGUUGUUAUAAAGCAUUUUGAACUUAUAACACAAUAAUGCAAAAAUAUUUUAUUUAUUUUAUGCGUCAAUUGAUCAUUUAUGUGUAUUUCUGUUUGUACAUUCACUUGCCUUAAAUUGCCUCUUGAUGAAUGAAUAAAGCAUUUUGAAUUAAA